Molecule: ribosomal RNA, 3015 nt
Filed under: Syntrophorhabdaceae bacterium
Lineage: Bacteria; Pseudomonadati; Thermodesulfobacteriota; Syntrophorhabdia; Syntrophorhabdales; Syntrophorhabdaceae
Description: 23S ribosomal RNA
Rfam family: Bacterial large subunit ribosomal RNA
Source: RNAcentral
GAUCAAGCUACUAAGAGCAUGUGGUAGAUGCCUUGGUGCCAAGAGGCGAUGAAGGACGUGGUUAGCUGCGAAAAGCUUCGGGGAGCCGCUAAGCAGGCUUUGAUCCGGAGAUUUCCGAAUGGGGCAACCCAUUCCGAGUAAUGUCGGAAUAUUCCGCAGGUGAAUACAUAGCCAGUGGAAGGCGAACGAGAGGAACUGAAACAUCUAAGUACUCUCAGGAAAAGAAAGAAAUUCGAUUCCCAAAGUAGUGGCGAGCGAAAUGGGAAGAGCCUAAACCAAAUAUACUUAUAGUCCGUGAGCGUUGUAUAUUUGGGGUUGUAGGAUAAUAUUGGAGGUUUUUACGGAAACCUCGGGAAGUUACAAAGCUGUUCUAUAGCAAAAUAACAUGGAAAGGUUAACCAUAGCGGGUGAUAGUCCUUUAUGCGAAAUAGAAUAACCUUCCUGGAUAUUAUCCUGAGUACCACGGGACACGUGGAAUCUUGUGGGAAGAUAGGGGGACCAUCCCCAAAGGCUAAAUACUACUUGGCGACCGAUAGUGUACAAGUACCGUGAGGGAAAGGUGAAAAGAACCCCGUUGAGGGGAGUGAAAUAGUACCUGAAACCGCAUGCUUACAUGUAGUGGUAGUUCCGUAGCAAUACGGAAUAACCGCGUACCUUUUGCAUAAUGGGUCAGUGAGUUACUCUAUGUUGCGAGGUUAAGCCGUUAGGUGUAGCCGGAGCGAAAGCGAGUCCGAAAAGGGCGAUUAGUUGCAUGGAGUAGACCCGAAACCAGGUGAUCUAUCCAUGGCCAGGAUGAAUCCCGAGUAAUAUCGGAAAGAGGUCCGAACCCACUCAGGUUGAAAACUGAGGGGAUGAGCUGUGGAUCGGAGUGAAAGGCUAAACAAACCUGGAAAUAGCUGGUUCUCCCCGAAAUAUAUUUAGGUAUAGCCUUCCGUGAUCGGUUAUGGAGGUAGAGCACUGAAUGGGCUAGGGCUCCUACAAGGGUACCAAACCCAACCAAACUCCGAAUGCCAUAACCCAAAAUGGAGGAGACAGACUGCGGGUGAUAAGAUCCGUAGUCGAGAGGGAAACAGCCCAGACCAUCAGCUAAGGUCCCUAAAAUGUGCUAAGUGGAAAAGGAUGUGGGUCCACUAAAACAGCCAGGAGGUUGGCUUAGAAGCAGCCACCCUUUAAAGAAAGCGUAACAGCUCACUGGUCUAGCAGGCCUGCGCCGAAAAUGUAACGGGGCUAAGCACAUUACCGAAGCUAUGGAUCAUUCCGUAUAUCGGAAUGGUGGUAGGGGAGCAUUCUGCUUACCUGUGAAGGUGUCUCGUGAGGGAUGCUGGAGGACGCAGAAGAGAGUAUGCUGACAUGAGUAGCGAUAAUGCCGGUGAAAAACCGGCACGCCGUAAGCCCAAGGUUUCCUGAGCAAGGGUAAUCCUCUCAGGGUUAGUCGGUCCCUAAGGCGAGGCCGAAAGGCGUAGUUGAUGGGAAACAGGUUAAUAUUCCUGUACCACCAGGUAGGUGAUAAAGACGCGAAGGGGGGACGGAGAAGGGUAGGCCAUCCUGCUGACGGAAUAGCAGGUUCAAGCCCGUAGAGGGGUUCCACAGGCAAAUCCAUGGAACCAUAACCUCGAGAAGUGAUGAGGAGUCCGCUUGCGGACACAAACUGGCUAAUCCCAUGCUUCCAAGAAAAGCCUCGUAGCGAAUCUAUUUGGUGACCGUACCGCAAACCGACACAGGUGGGCAAGGAGAGAAUCCUAAGGCGCUUGAGAUAACUCUGGUUAAGGAACUUUGCAAAAUUACACCGUAACUUAGGGAGAAGGUGUAUUCUGGUGCGUGUAAGAACUUGCUUCUGAAGCGUUCUGGAAUCGCAGUGAAGAGGGAGUGACGACUGUUUACUAAAAACAUAGGACUCUGCAAACUCGUAAGAGGAUGUAUAGGGUCUGACGCCUGCCCGGUGCUGGAAGGUUAAGGGGAGAUGUUAUUCAAGGAAACGAGGAGAAGCAUUGAACCGAAGCCCCAGUAAACGGCGGCCGUAACUAUAACGGUCCUAAGGUAGCGAAAUUCCUUGUCGGGUAAGUUCCGACCUGCAUGAAUGGCGUAACGAUUGCUCCGCUGUCUCAACCAGGGACUCAGCGAAAUUAUAAUGGGGGUGAAGAUACCCUCACCCCGCGGCAAGACGGAAAGACCCCGUGAACCUUUACUAUAGCUUGACAGUGAACUUCGGAAUAUCAUGUGUAGGAUAGGUGGGAGGCUAUGAAGCGUUGGCGCAAGCUGGCGCAGAGCCAACCUUGAAAUACCACCCUUGUUGUUUUGAGGUUCUAACUCAGGUCCCUUAAUCGGGAUCGAGGACAUUGUCUGGUGGGUAGUUUGACUGGGGCGGUCGCCUCCAAAAAUGUAACGGAGGCGCACGAAGGUCGGCUCAGGCUGAUUGGAAACCAGCCGAUGAGUGCAAAGGCAUAAGCCGGCUUGACUGUGAGACCUACAAGUCGAGCAGGAACGAAAGUUGGUCUUAGUGAUCCGGUGGUUCCAUAUGGAAGGGCCAUCGCUCAACGGAUAAAAGGUACUCCGGGGAUAACAGGCUUAUCUCCCCCAAGAGUUCAUAUCGACGGGGAGGUUUGGCACCUCGAUGUCGGCUCAUCGCAUCCUGGGGCUGAAGUAGGUCCCAAGGGUUUGGCUGUUCGCCAAUUAAAGCGGUACGUGAGCUGGGUUUAGAACGUCGUGAGACAGUUCGGUCCCUAUCUGCCGUGGGCGCAGGACAAUUGAGAGGAGCUGUCCCUAGUACGAGAGGACCGGGAUGGACGAACCUCUAGUGCACCAGUUGUCACGCCAGUGGCAUAGCUGGUUAGCUAUGUUCGGAAGAGAUAACCACUGAAAGCAUCUAAGUGGGAAGCUCGCCUCAAGAAUAGUUGUCCCGUCUGGUAGCAAUACCGGGCUAAGAUCCCAGAAAGACGAUCUGGUUGAUAGGCCGAUGGUGUAAGCACAGCGAUGUGUUGAGCCUAACGGUACUAAUAGAUCGAGAGGCUUGAUCAU